UUCCUCUCAGGGUCGCACCUGGAGAGUGUCCAGUACUCAACCAGACUCGACUAUGGGAGGGAGAGUCAAGCAGAGGCAUACCCAUUUCAUUCCUAGCUUGGGCAGAGGCUAGCGCGUAGAAGGCAAUCUGCUACAAGU
Ornithorhynchus anatinus (platypus) is the source of this 138-nucleotide small nucleolar RNA. NCBI's taxonomy places the organism in Eukaryota, Metazoa, Chordata, Mammalia, Monotremata, Ornithorhynchidae. The record is from RefSeq and is a predicted model, not a curated record.